Hemicordylus capensis (graceful crag lizard) is the source of this 1645-nucleotide long non-coding RNA. RefSeq lists it as uncharacterized. The record is from RefSeq and is a predicted model, not a curated record. The transcript is spliced from 2 exons. NCBI's taxonomy places the organism in Eukaryota, Metazoa, Chordata, Lepidosauria, Squamata, Cordylidae.
CACACUGACAUUGCAGUAUUUUGAAUCGGUCGCGCACAGAACUAAUAUCAGUACGUAGGCUGCAGACGACAGUUUGGAUAGUUUCUAUUUGGAGCGAAUUGGAUUAUUCUGGACUAGGUGCACGGGAAUCGCAGCCUACUUUCCCCCAUCCAUCCUAACCAAUUGAAAAUCGAAGUUCUUCCGGGAGUCGGCGGCAUAGGAUUCCCCCACAGACCCUGCGCCACCCACACGAGAAACCAAGACACCUUCACCGGGAUCAAGCACAGCCGCGUCCCGUUAACCGAACGCUGCUGGCGGCAAAAUGCACAAGAAUAAACCCGCCCCGCCGCCGCGCUUCUGGAUCCUGCACAAUAAGAGCCGGCCCGAAAUGCCAGAAACAUGCCGCCAAAGGCCCCUCCGCCGACUGAGGCAGGGAUCCGAAGCCCACUUCCUAGAGAGAAAGUCCCACUGAACACACAGAGACUGACUUGGGAGUGAAUAUGUUUCCGGAUGGCGCAAACACAAGUGGUUGAUACGUGCCUCCAUCCGUCUCCUUUGGAACCCAAAGAAAUUCGUUCGCCAAAUUGUUUCUUUCUUCUCCCGGCCCCCCGCCCCGCCACUCCCUUUCUCCUGGCUGUUUGCUUUCGGGCUUGUCAUCAUUCUUUUGGGAGAUAAGAAAAGAAAUCAGGUCCUUUUCUUCCCUCCCCGCACCCCGGCCACUGGACCCGGAUUCCUAUUUGGGGAGCCCUUUUGAUGUCCCCCCUUUAGCGCCUUUGACUUCUCGUGUGAAUGGCAGCCUUUUGUUGCCGACCCACAUUCCCUUUCAAGGGCGGGGGGAGAAGAACCAUCUCCUUGAAGUGCCCGCUGAUGGGUCCCUUUUCCGAUGGGCCGGAAGGGGGGAAACGGUACGAGACCAGAGGAAGCUGCGGUCGUCCCAUUAGUCAUUGUGUCUGUCUGGGACAGUUCUUUUUCGACGGGUGUUGAAGGGCUGGCAGAAAACAUCACCAACAGGUUUAAAAAAAAAAAAAAAGCAACUCUCUCUUCCCCUUGUUGGAGGCAAGGAGGAGGAGAUGGAGGGUUCCUUUUUCUGCGAUUUCUCAUUUCUAUACCGCCUUUGCAUCGCUUUUAUUUUCAAUAGGAAACCGCAGCCGCUCGGAUGCAAACCAAACACUCCCGAACAGAGAAACACGCACAAAAAAACCGGUUCGUUCAGCAAUCUCCAAAUUCCCAGCACUCCAGUUUGAAAAGGCGGAACUUAAAUCCCGUUGAUUUCAAUAUAAUGUUUAAAACAUUUAACGGUAAUGGGCUUAGAUCGGAGUGCAAGAGAAAAAUCAUACUUAAAAAUCUCAGUUAUUAUUUGUUUGACGCCGGCAUGUUAAAACCAUUCCCCACGCAGCCCAGUCAAUUUUAAGAGGGGAAAAUAAUACCAACAUUGUCAAGAAUCGUUACUUGCCCCUCCUAACGAUUUAAGAUAACCCUGCAAUGUUUACGAAACUAUUAUCUGGACAAUCUGAUGACAUUUUUAAUGUUUAGUCUGGUGAGGAUAAGUCUUAUGGCUUUUUAUCCGCUUUAGAGUUUAUCACAUUAUAUUCUGAACAAGAAGAGACGGAAGAAGCGGAGACUCGCAGAACAUUUCCAAGGCAAAAAUAAACCAUUUUCUAAUUCA